This 784-nucleotide small RNA is filed under the name Exserohilum protrudens. RNAcentral's name for it is "eukaryotic LSU rRNA". The stretch from base 1 to 175 matches the Rfam family "Eukaryotic small subunit ribosomal RNA", at positions 1659 to 1831 of the family's 1831-position model. Lineage: Eukaryota; Fungi; Ascomycota; Dothideomycetes; Pleosporales; Pleosporaceae. The record is from RNAcentral.
CUUGUACACACCGCCCGUCGCUACUACCGAUUGAAUGGCUCAGUGAGGCGUUCGGACUGGCUCGGGGAGGUUGGCAACGACCACCCCAAGCCGGAAAGUUCGUCAAACUCGGUCAUUUAGAGGAAGUAAAAGUCGUAACAAGGUCUCCGUAGGUGAACCUGCGGAGGGAUCAUUACACAAAGAAUAUGAAGGCGUGGGCGCGCGCUGGCAACAGCCGUGCUCUGCUGGAUUAUUUUUCACCCAUGUCUUUUGCGCACUUUUUGUUUCCUGGGCGAGUUCGCUCGCCACCAGGACCCAACCAUAAACCUUUUUUUAUGCAGUUGCAAUCAGCGUCAGUAUAAUCAUAAUGUAUUAAAACUUUCAACAACGGAUCUCUUGGUUCUGGCAUCGAUGAAGAACGCAGCGAAAUGCGAUACGUAGUGUGAAUUGCAGAAUUCAGUGAAUCAUCGAAUCUUUGAACGCACAUUGCGCCCUUUGGUAUUCCAAAGGGCAUGCCUGUUCGAGCGUCAUUUGUACCCUCAAGCUUUGCUUGGUGUUGGGCGUUUUUUGUCUCUCCUUGCGGGAGACUCGCCUUAAAACGAUUGGCAGCCGGCCUACUGGUUUCGGAGCGCAGCACAAAUUUGCGCUUGCAAUCAGCCAAGGGCGGUAUCCAUCAAGCCUUUUUUUAUCCACAUUUUGACCUCGGAUCAGGUAGGGAUACCCGCUGAACUUAAGCAUAUCAAUAAGCGGAGGAAAAGAAACCAACAGGGAUUGCCCUAGUAACGGCGAGUGAAGCGGCAACAGC